GCCGUCUCCCCGUUUCUCCAGCAGGGGGAGCCGACGACCAGCGCCGGGCGCCGGGCGGCCCGGGAGGAUUCUGCACCGCGGGGGGCGCGGGCCGGAGCCGACGCAGCCCCGGGUGGGGGCGGAGAGGCACCUCCGGGGCCCGGGUGACCCGUUUGCCCCGCGGGGGACGGGCUCUCGGGACUGUCCAUCCUUCCCGCGCGGCCCUGGACGGGGCUCCGUGGUUCUGGCUGCGUCGCCGCUGCGUGCAGGGCUCCGCUGCCUGCGAGCCGGUGGCCCGGAGACGCGAGCUCGGUGCUCCCGCGGGCUCCAAAAGGGGCUGUCCUGAUCUUAAUUUUUCAGACUAAAUCAUACUGGUUAUGAUGGCAUCUCCUCUGGUUUGUGAGCAUCUCCUCUGCCUUUGCUAAACUAGGUGCUUGCCACGCCCGGCGGCUGCGCUGUUUCCUCCCCCUGGUCCCGCGGCGGGGGGUCCUCCCAGCGGCUCGCGUCAGCCCCCGCUGCUGCGUGGACACAGCUCGGUUGUCAAAGGGACAGAGGGAGGGAGGGAGGGACCAGACCAAUCCGUGCCCGAGUUUACUGGAUUUAUCACACAGAAAGCUUGAGUUUAGAGAACAAGCAGGGAACUGAGUAUAGUUCUAUUUGCUUCUUUUGAAAUCUGUUGCAUCUUGCUGCUAUUUUGCCGUUUAAGAAGAUACUGCUGCUUCUGCCAGAAGUUCAGCAGAUGAGUGAGAGAGAACAAAGACUGGCUGGAGCUCCAGUUCUGCUAUGUCAUUGCUAUGUGACCCUUCUGAGCUCCCAUUUCCUUGAUGGAGCUGACACUGAUUGGACCAUGGAGGUCCAUGAGGAUGAAAUAGGAACUUACAGGAAAUUCACAUCAGAGAAGGGAAGAGAGUAUUCUGCAGGAAGUCAAAGCACAUUGAAGUGACCAAGAUGAUAUCUUAGAGUCAUGUACUGAUAUGUAAGGGAAGAAAAAGCACUUUAAAGCAUGAGAGAUGUGUUUUAGAAUCCAAAAACCUUUCUAUUGGAGUUUUAAAUAUCGAAAUGAAGCCUCAAAAUGAUGGUUAAAUCUUCUCUGCAAGACAUCUGUGUAGAACUGAUUCUCACAACUGAUGUUGUGUCUUCAUCAGCAGGUGGGUACCCAGAUGCUCCUGAUGACCAGCCUUGCGACACUCUCAGGAAAUGAGAACAUUAUUCUAUGGUCAUAAGAUCAGUGAUUGCAAAGUGCUUUCUAGACAAUAAUGGGAACUAUAAGGUGAAAGAUAGGGUGAUCCAUGUCUGAGGAGUUGUGAUUUGUGUUUGGUGCCACCCACCAUGGAAAAGCUGGUCUCAGCCCUGCCUUUGCUUGGACCAACAAGAGCUGUAUAGUAUGCAGCAUCUUUAGGAGGAAGCACCACCAGCAGGUCACAGUCUACUUCAACCACCUGCCUGGUGCCUGCUUGGAUUGUUCCCAGGUCUGGGCAAGAGAAAUCCCUCCUAGAAGACAGGAAGGGCUUCAGGCAAUGCUUGGUGGUGGCUGUGCUACCUGUCCCUGAAGCAAAAUGGCUGGCAGUGGGAGCUAUGUAUAGACCUGUGUUUACUGUGUAGGUGAGGGAACUGUGGAGACCACGUGCAACUCUGAGUGUCUUUGCUUGUAUCAUUGGGUCAGUAUUUGUCUUCUCUAUGAUGAACAUAAACCUAAAAUCCAAAGAGCCUGAUAUGAUGUGACAAGGGUGCAUUUCUCUAUACUAAUGUGGCCACACAGAAACUUUAUUUUUCUAAUUUCUCCCUUUUAAGAACUCUGCAUAAACCCAGGUGGAGCAUCACUGGGUUGGUAAUCUAAGCUAAGGGUCCAUGGACUGUUACAGUAUUUGAGUUUCAUCAUAAGGUCUAAUUUAAAUAUGAAAAUAUGGAAAAUCAUGUAUGAAUAUGCACUGAAAUUCUAUACCUGGACUUAACAAAGAAAACAUAGUCUGUAUGGAAAAUAAUACUUUUUUUUUUUUUUUUUUUUUUUUUACAAAAUUAAAAGAAAUCCUUGGAUAUUUCCAGAUUCUGCUCCUAACAAGACCCUUUCCUUCUGAGCCUGCCACGAUGCCUCUCUAACCUUCGAGAAAGACCCAUUUGACCAGCUACUGGGAUUAGUGUAUAAAGACUUAAGACCAGGGCUAGGCUAGUGCUGACUUAAGUUCACCAUUUGUUCAUUUUGGUGCAUUGAGCAAUUGUUUGAUAUGCUAGUUUUCUCAUCUGUGAGACGGGAUUAUAUCAGAUUCAACCUCACAGUCUGUGGGGAGGGGAUUAUGAGAUAAAAUAUGUAAAAGAACCUAGCCCAGUGCCUGGUGUUUGGAAAUCUGUUUCUUAAUGUUCCAUGCAUAAGCCUGCCGCAGGGUUUUGGUCUCUUUUCUCUUCUGUCCCACAUAUUUGCAAAGCUCUCUCUCCUUUGUCCUUCAAGCUUUGACUCCAAUGUCACUUUCUCAAUGAGGCUUUCCCUUGCCACCUUACUUAAAUUGCAACACUCUCCCCUUGGAUGAUCCCUCUUUCUCAUUACCCACUUUAAUUUUCUCCUUGGUUCUUAUCAUCUUUUAACGACAGCAUUUAUUUCACUUGUUUAUUGUCUGUAUUCCCUACUACAACACAAGUCCUUUGAGGGCAAGGAGUUUUGUCAAUUCUUGCCUAUUUGAUCUCUUUCAUAACCCAUAGUGUAGACACAACACACAGUACGCACUCCAUAGUAUUAGUUGAAUGAAUAAAUGAAAUGAUACACAUCAGCUACUCUUAUACUAUCAGUGCCCCUUUUGACUUAUUGUGGUCACCUCUGUUGUGGUUGUCCUUUUCCAUUUCCUAUUUGUGUAUUUUCUUCCCCUUUGCUGAGUCAUGAGCUCCUAUUAUUUCAUUGUGUUCACGUAAUAUUUGACAGAAUCUCUUUCUCUGUAGACUCUAGCCCCCACAGAAUGAGAACCCAUACUUCUGGU
Molecule: long non-coding RNA, 2942 nt
Filed under: Canis lupus familiaris (dog)
Lineage: Eukaryota; Metazoa; Chordata; Mammalia; Carnivora; Canidae
Description: lncRNA (ENSCAFG00030015305.1)
Source: RNAcentral